RNAcentral lists this ribosomal RNA (301 nucleotides) under uncultured bacterium. Its description in RNAcentral is "partial 16S ribosomal RNA". It matches the Rfam family "Bacterial small subunit ribosomal RNA", at positions 509 to 807 of the family's 1533-position model. The record is from RNAcentral.
CAGCCGCCACGGGAAUACGAAGGGGGCUAGCGUUGUUCGGAAUUACUGGGCGUAAAGCGCACGUAGGCGGAUAUUUAAGUCAGGGGUGAAAUCCCAGAGCUCAACUCUGGAACUGCCUUUGAUACUGGGUAUCUUGAGUAUGGAAGAGGUGAGUGGAAUUCCGAGUGUAGAGGAGAAAUUCGUAGAUAUUCGCAGGAACACCAGUGGCGAAGGCGGCUUACUGGUCCAUUACUGACGCUGAGGUGCGAAAGCGUGGGGAGCAAACAGGAUUAGAUACCCCUGUAGUCCCUGUCUCUUAUAC